GGCCGCGGCUGACUAUUGCUUCAGCGGGAUCUUUCUCUGCUUUUAAACAAAGAAAGCGUGAGGGUCGGGCACUCAUUGAGGGGAGACGCGCAACGUAAAAGGUGCCUUUGUGCCCCGCGUGAGGCCUUCGGAGAACGGCUCUCUGCCAGCACACACUGGUGACAGACCCGUUCGUCACAGAUUCGAACCACCGUCAGAUGCUGUGUACCUAGCCGCCUCACGCUCCUGCUGCCUGACUUCACCGCCAUGAUGGACUGUGUGCCCUUAAACUCAUCUAUGGCUGGUCACCAUGUGCCUGCAGUGUCUGCAGAGGCCAGAAGAGGGCAUCUGAUCCCCUUGAACUGGAGUUAACUGAUGAUUAACAACCACGAUGUGGGUGCUGGGAAUCAAGCCUGGGUCUUCUGCAAGAGCAACAAGUGCUUUUAAUCGCUGAACCAUUGCUUCCGGUCUGUAAGUUACAAGUUUAAGAGUAAGGAUUCAAAUAUUAAGUCUUUUGAGAAUCAAUGAAUAUUUAUCAAUAAGCACCAAGAAGAGGAAGA
Peromyscus maniculatus bairdii (prairie deer mouse) is the source of this 539-nucleotide long non-coding RNA. RefSeq lists it as uncharacterized. The record is from RefSeq and is a predicted model, not a curated record. Lineage: Eukaryota; Metazoa; Chordata; Mammalia; Rodentia; Cricetidae.